This 355-nucleotide ribosomal RNA is filed under the name Klebsiella pneumoniae. Its description in RNAcentral is "partial 23S ribosomal RNA". It matches the Rfam family "Bacterial large subunit ribosomal RNA", at positions 369 to 731 of the family's 2925-position model. Lineage: Bacteria; Pseudomonadati; Pseudomonadota; Gammaproteobacteria; Enterobacterales; Enterobacteriaceae. The record is from RNAcentral.
AGUCCCGUACACCAAAAUGCACAGGUUGUGAACUCGAAGAGUAGGGCGGGACACGUGGUAUCCUGUCUGAAUAUGGGGGGACCAUCCUCCAAGGCUAAAUACUCCUGACUGACCGAUAGUGAACCAGUACCGUGAGGGAAAGGCGAAAAGAACCCCGGCGAGGGGAGUGAAAAAGAACCUGAAACCGUGUACGUACAAGCAGUGGGAGCACCUUCGGGUGUGACUGCGUACCUUUUGUAUAAUGGGUCAGCGACUUAUAUUCUGUAGCAAGGUUAACCGUAUAGGGGAGCCGCAGGGAAACCGAGUCUUAACUGGGCGUUAAGUUGCAGGGUAUAGACCCGAAACCCGGUGAUCU